GCGCCAGUAGCUCAGUCGGAUAGAGCAACGGCCUUCUAAGCCGUGGGUCAGGGGUUCGAAUCCCUUCUGGCGUGCCA
Molecule: transfer RNA, 77 nt
Filed under: Oscillospiraceae bacterium
Lineage: Bacteria; Bacillati; Bacillota; Clostridia; Eubacteriales; Oscillospiraceae
Description: tRNA-Arg
Rfam family: tRNA
About the family: Transfer RNA (tRNA) molecules are approximately 80 nucleotides in length.
Source: RNAcentral